GAAGGUAUAUCUCAGUGGUAGAGUGGGUGCUUAGUAUGCAUGAGGUAAGGUCCUGGGUUCAAUCCCCAGAACCUCCA
Molecule: transfer RNA, 77 nt
Filed under: Camelus bactrianus (Bactrian camel)
Lineage: Eukaryota; Metazoa; Chordata; Mammalia; Artiodactyla; Camelidae
Also listed under: 2 other names
Rfam family: tRNA
About the family: Transfer RNA (tRNA) molecules are approximately 80 nucleotides in length.
Source: Rfam by way of RNAcentral